GUUUAAUAUCCUGCUCCCUUUGGCUCUUUUCCGUCUUCCCGUUCUCUCCGAGCCCAUUCCUGCCGGAAUGUGUUGAGGCUUCGAAACAAAGAGCUGAGAGGUAUUCAGCGAGAGGAGCGAGGGCUGAGAGGUGACAGAGAGCGGAAACGCAGACGAACCGACGUGGCCAACGCAGGUGUCGGAUCAAGAGCCUUUUCCCAGAGGAGCAGGAAUCCAGCUGCUGGGAACCAGCUGCGUCCCGCGAUGGCACACAUCUGGUUUUGUGGUGCGGGGUCGUGGUCCUGCUGGACCUUAGGGAGGUGCUGGUGAGCUCCCUGGCUGCCUGAAGCUCGUCCCUUCUAGAGGCCAGUGGAACCUGGACCCAUCCUUCUAAUCCUCCCUCCCUCCCUCCUCCCAUCUCUCUGCUCAGCUCUUCUCCCUCCACCACCUCCUCCUGCUGCUCCUCUUUUCCCAGGCUCUAUGGGUGCAGUGCCACGUCGCUUAUUAGUCUGUGAGAGAGAGAGAGCUGGAGGAAGACCCAGACGUCCACGUUGCACUGUGAUAAGAAAAAAAUCCUGACCCAUAUUUUUCCAUUUUAAACUUAAAUGCUGUCAGUUGUUUUGCAGAAUAGAAGCCAUAUAGAAACCAUUUCUCUUCACUGUGAAACCCCCCCCCCCCCCCCCCCAAACCCUUAUGACUCUCACUCACUCCUGUGUGUGCAGAUGUGUGUUUGAUUUACUUCCCUACUUUCCAGUCUGGUGUGAGGUUUGAACUAUGCAAAUAUAAGGUAAACUUCCCGAAGUAUUUAAUUCAUUACUAUUCCCACAAUUUCUUUUUUUGGCACAGCAAAAAAAGCCAAACUCAUGGUAUAUAUAUUUUCUUUUACCAGUGUUAGUCCCCAUUUAACUGGUUUUCCUGUACUCUGGUCCCCUCUAGUGGUCAUUUAGCGCAGCGCACUCAGUUCUCGUCAAGUCAGUUUAACUUUUUGGAAGUCUAAAACCACUUCAGCAAUAGGAAUAAACAUAAAUAUUAAUGCCGUGUUGACCAAUUUCAAUAAAAACACAUUUAG
This 1048-nucleotide long non-coding RNA is filed under the name Takifugu rubripes (torafugu). RNAcentral describes it as "lncRNA (ENSTRUG00000031681.1)". Lineage: Eukaryota; Metazoa; Chordata; Actinopteri; Tetraodontiformes; Tetraodontidae. The record is from RNAcentral.